RNAcentral lists this ribosomal RNA (3143 nucleotides) under Ascaris suum (pig roundworm). Its description in RNAcentral is "eukaryotic LSU rRNA". The stretch from base 83 to 2557 matches the Rfam family "Eukaryotic large subunit ribosomal RNA". The record is from RNAcentral. Lineage: Eukaryota; Metazoa; Nematoda; Chromadorea; Rhabditida; Ascarididae.
UGAGACUCAUCCUUUGAUUGGCACAUUGUUUGAUAGAUAAUGAAAAAAAUGCAUCUUUAAUGAGUUAGGGAAGAGGGGUAGAAAAACAAAAAAAAAAAAAAAUUCCGCUAUGACACCAUAGCAGCGCUGCUCGAUUGUAAAGCGCGCCCACUACUUAUUGUAAAGAAAAUAUGAAAAACACUUUACAAGUCUGGUAGACCUCAUCUAAGCUACAAUAUGCCACGAAACCGAUACAACAAGUACCGUGGGGGAAAGUUGCAAGAACUUUGAAGAGAGAGUUCAAGAUGGGCGUGGAAACCGUUGAGAUUGAAACGGAUUUAGAGGUGUAACGAAACUCGGCUGCAUUUCAUCCGAUCGGCCUAGAUGAGAUCAGUUAGGCGUCGAUCCUCUGAUGAGGGCAACGUUAUCGUUAACUUAUUGGGUAAUUGCAUUCGGUGUAUUGUGCUGCUUGUAUGCGCUUUGAGAUGUUUUGUUGAUCGCAUGUCUAACGGGUGUGCAGUGGACCCAGUCCUUCCGGGUGUGGAAACCUUCACAUCUUUAGGCAUGUCGAUUUAUAAAGGUUUGAACGUGAGUCUCCGCUAUGUGCUCGCUUAUGCGUACUAUUGUGAUUUUGAAUAUUCGCUGCGAAUAUUUGUAGUUUAACGAUAUUGCCGACAAAAGUGGCGGACGCGUGAGACGUGUAUCUCGGUGUGAACGUUGACCGACCUAUCCGACCGUCUUUGAAACACGGACCCAAGGGAGUUCUAGCAUAUGCGCGAUCAUGGGUUGUUAAACCUAAGGCGUAAUGAAAGUAAAAAGUCACCCUCGAUGUGGCCGAUAUGGGUUCCGGAUAACUUACGAGCCAUUCGGCGCACCAUAGCCCCGUCCCCAUUGCUUGCAAUAGGGCGGAGUAGAGCGCAUAUGCUGGGACCCGAAAGAUGGUGAACUAUGCCUGAGCAGGAUGAAGCCCAGAGGAAACUCUGGUGGAAGUCCGAGCGGUUUCUGACGUGCAAAUCGAUCGUCUGACUUGGGUAUAGGGGCGAAAGACUAUCGAAACAUCUAGUAGCUGGUUCCUCUUGAAGUUUCCCCCAGGAUAGCUGGGAGUUCGUAUGGUGCAGUUAUAUUCGGUAAAGCGAAAUGAUUAGAGGAAUUGGGGACGAAACGACCUCACCUAUUCUCAAACUUUCAAUGGGUAUGAAGUCCCGCUUGCUUGACAUUAAUGAAGCGUGGACAUUGAAUGUGAGCUCCAAGUGGCCAUUUUUGGUAAGCAGAACUGGCGCUGUGGGAUGAACCAAACGUCGGGUUAAAGUGCCAAACUUCCCGCUCAUGAGACCCCAUGAAAGCGUUGGUUGAUAUAGACAGCAGGACGGUGGCCAUGGAAGUCGGAAACCGCUAAGGCGUGUUGUAACAACUCACCUGCCGAAUCAACUAGCCCUGAAAAUGGAUGGCGCUGAGCGGGAGACUUAUACCCGACCGUUGCUUGGCUUGUGUGUUUCUCCUCAUAUGAGAGAUCGCCUGGCCGCAACGAGUAAGAGGGUCGCAGUGGUUUGCGUUGAAGGCUUUGGGCGUAGGCCCGGCUGGAGCUUCCACUGGUGCAGAUCUUUGUGGUAGUAGCAAAUAUUCAAGUGAGAUCCUUGAAGACUGAAGUGGAGAAGGGUUCCACGUGAACAGCAGUUGAAUGUGGGUCAGUCGGCCCUAAGAUACUGGCUAAUGCCAUGUGUUAUCGAGAGAUGGAGUUCAAAUCUGUCUCGUUUAUCGAAAGGGAAACGGGUUAAUAUUCCCGUACGGACACGGAGAUAAGCGCUCAUUGCGAGUGUUUAGCGCGGGUAACGCAAACGAACUCGGUAACGUUGAAUAGAGCCCGAGCUAGAGUUCUCUUUUUCUAGUUAAGAACGAAUUCCCUGGAAUCGGUUCAGCCGGAGAUAGGGAUGUUGUUUCCGUAAGCGCCACGGUUCCUGUGGUGUCUCGUGCGCUCUAUUCGGCCCUGAAAAACCGAGGGAGGCUAUUUGAAUUUCGUGCCAGCCUACCGAUAUCCGCAGCAGGUCUCAAGUGAACAGCCUCUAGUCGAUAGAAUAAUGUAGGUAAGGGAAGUCGGCAAAUUAGAUCCGUAACUUCGGGAAAAGGAUUGGCUCUAAGGACUGGCCGGUCGGGCUGCAGUGUGAAGUGAGCUCGGUUUGAUCCAUGCAGUGCAACGCUCGGAAACGGGUGGCGCUCGGCUAGCGUUCGAACUGUCUUGUGGACCGCUGCAGCUGUGUGCCGCGUCAAUAAUGGCGUUUGGUGCUUCGGCGGGCGCUAAACAGUCGACUUAGAACUGGCACGGACUCGGGGAAUCCGACUGUCUAAUUAAAACAGAGGAGACAGAUGGCCUUGCGAGCGUUGACUGUCUCUUGAUUUCUGCCCAGUGCUCUGAAUGUAAAAAGUGAAGAAAAUUCAACCAAGCGCGGGCGUAAACGCGGGAGUAACUAUGACUCUCUUAAGUAGCCAUAAUGCCCUCGUCAUCUAAUUAAUGGACGCGCAUGAGGGGCCGGUGGGUUUACUCACUUCUGACCCAUGAGUGACUGGGAGACACGCUUUGAGUCGGCGCAAUGCCGGCCGAAGUUAAGGUCUGACAAAAUGAAAGUGCUGAAUGGCAUCUUUCAAGGUGACUCGUUAUCACCAACCCUUUUUGUAUUAUGCAUAGCACCUAUCAGCUAUGCACUCAAUAAGGGUGUCGGCCAGUGUCAAUCCUCAUCCGGCUGGAGUGCAGGUUACGGUUUUGGGAUUGGACAUCAGUUCUAUAUGGACGAUCUUAAACUGUACGCUAGAACGCCUGCGAUGCUAGACUCCCAAAUCCAGGUGGUGUCUGAGGUGUCGGAAGCAAUGGGACUCCAUUUGAAUUUGAGUAAAUGUGCGAAAGCACAUUAUGCUCUGCAUGGGGCGGGCGGAGCGCAAGAAGCUGUGGAAGGUGCAGAAGGAUCGAGGAAGGGAGAAAUCCCAAUACUCGGGCUUCGAAGCACCUAUAAAUAUCUUGGAGUGGAGCAACGACUCCUUCCGACGGAAGUAGCCCUCAAAGAGUUUGAGGAUAAGUUUAUGGAUCGAGCAAAAACAAUCUUCGCUAGCGAACUCACAUGGGGGCAGAUGGCCACAGCGUAUAAUACUAUAGCUAUCGCUGGUCUACGAUAUGU